This 3780-nucleotide long non-coding RNA is filed under the name Pelobates cultripes (western spadefoot toad). Lineage: Eukaryota; Metazoa; Chordata; Amphibia; Anura; Pelobatidae. The record is from RNAcentral.
CGCCUCUGAUGUGGCCGGGCACCGGGUUGGCUCCCCGGUUGGAGGAUCGUUAACGGAUGUCGCUCAUCCUGGUCAGGGGACAGUACACAACGCAGCCCCAGGAGCUUCGGGAUCGAGGGGCUUGGCCGGUGAGUCCUCUGCUUCUCUGCACUCCAGUGCAUUGGUUCAUACACUUCAAGCACUUCUCCACUCACUGGGAGCGGGGGGUGCCACAAAGGGCGGUGUGGGUCAGGUUUGGGCUCAGGGGGCCGGGGUGGCGGGCCCGAGCGAGAUUCCCUCCGCGGAACAGAGUUCAGGUGGGGACACUGCAGUGACAGUUACCGGGGCGGAGGCGACGAGCGAGCGGGCUGAGUUGACGGGGGGGGUGGUUCCUGAUGCGGCCAGGCAACACGCAUAUGUGUCGUUUGCGGGUCCGCUGGGGGUCCACCUCAAACAGGAGGUGAAGGAAAAAAUCUGGAAGGGUUACUUCUGCGAGAUCUUUUCUCUUCUCCCUUUGGAAGAUUUUAUCGAUCUCAAAGAGGACGAUAAAAAAGAUGAGAAGAAGGAGGGGGAAGAGAAGAAGAAGCGGUAUCGUAAGAUUCCUAAGUCUUUCGGUAACUGGCUGAGGGCGUUUUGCGUGUUGGCCAGUGUUCUGGGCGAGAAAUCGCCGGGCCUGUGCUCCUCCCUGUUUUGUUAUUUGGAUGGCAUUUGGGAGGCGUAUCGCACCUAUGGCGGACUGGCAUGGUGGCGGUAUGACGAGCAAUUCCGGCAGCGUUUGGCGGCUAAUCCGGGUAUGCGGUGGGAUCAAAUGGACCUGCCUCUCUGGAUGAAGCUGAUGAUGGCGCAGAAAGCGCAGCCCUUUCAGCCCACGGCCGGCGCAAAGGGGCAGUCCGCCUCGUCGGCCGCCAUGCAAAAGGGCUUCUGCUGGCUCUUUAACGAGGGCCAGUGCAAAUGGGGAAACGCCUGUCGCUUUAAGCACGAGUGUUCGGGCUGCGGAGGCGCGCAUGGGCUCAACCGGUGCUUCAAGAAAGGGAAGUCAGGGCACACUGGGGUCCCUACCGCGGCUGGGGGGGGAGGGGGAGUUUCGCUUGCCCCGGGGCCUAACCCCGGUGAGGCUAGACGCGAUGGAGCCGUGGCUAAGCCGCAACAGUAAUAAGGCAGAUGCCGUGGCGCUCCGGGCGGGGUUUGGUCAGGGGUUCUUUAUCCCUUUCCGGAACCGGGGGGGGACUGGGGUUCGGCGCAACCUUAAAUCGGUGGCUGAGUUCCCGGGUGUGGUGCGGGAAAAACUGGGCAAGGAAGUCAAAUUGGGGAGGAUGGCAGGACCGUUCCCGGCUCCUCCAAUGGAGGGUCUGCGGGUUUCCCCACUCGGGGUGGUUCCCAAGAAGGAACCGGGCAAAUUCAGGCUAAUUCACCACCUCUCCUACCCGGAAGGAGAGUCGGUGAAUGAUGAUAUUGACAAGGACUUGUGCUCGGUCUCCUACGCAUCAUUCGACAGGGCGGUCGAGCUGGUAAGGAGGGCCGGGUGCGGGGCACUGUUGGCUAAAGUGGAUAUUGAAGCGGCGUUUCGGCUGCUUCUGGUCCACCCAGCGUGCCAUCACUUGCUGGGGUGUUUCUUCGACGGGGAGUACUUUGUGGAUUUGUGCCUUCCAAUGGGUUGUGCUAUCUCCUGCGCCUACUUCGAGAAGUUUAGUACCUUUCUUGAAUGGGUGGUCAAGGUUGAGGCGGGGAGUGGGGCUGUGGUACACUACCUGGACGAUUUUCUCUGCGUGGGACCGGCGGGCUCCCCCGCCUGCCUACACUUGCUGAGAACGGUCGAGUGGGUGGCUGGCCAUUUCAGGGUCCCUCUGGCGGCGGACAAGACAGAAGGGCCGGCUCCGUGCCUUAGUUUUCUGGGGCUGGAGAUAGAUACGUUGCAAGGGGAGUGUCGGCUGCCGUUGGAAAAGUUGCGUCGGCUGAGGGAGGAGGUGACAGCGGCGGCUCAAGCCCGUAAGGUUACAUUGCGGCAGCUGCAGUCGUUGAUCGGGAUGCUGAAUUUUGCAUGCCGGGUGAUCCCAGUGGGUAGGGUGUUCAGCCGGAGCCUGUCGGCAGCGACGGCGGGGGUGCGAUCCCCGCGUCACUUCAUUCGGGUGUCGUCGGCCAUGAGGGCCGACUUGGCCGUAUGGGAGACCUUUUUGCGGGAGUUCAACGGGACGGUGAUUUUUAGACAGGAGGGCGUGUCGGCUGCGGAACUGGAGCUGUUCACUGACGCGUCUGGUAGCGUGGGCUUCGGGGCUUAUUUUGGGGGACGUUGGUGUGCGGAGCAAUGGCCGGGGGAGUGGCGAAUGAGCCCCCUCAUGCGGAACUUGGCUUUCUUGGAGCUGUUCCCGCUGGUCGUCGCGUUGGCCCUGUGGGGGGAUAGGCUGCGGGACCGGAAGGUGGUCUUUUUCUCGGACAAUAUGGCCGUGGUGCACGCUGUGAAUAACCAAUCAGCGGCAUCAAAACCCGUGGUUAGGUUACUACGUCAUUUUGUUCUGUUGUGCAUGUCGCUAAAUGUUGUUUUUCGUGCACGCCAUGUGCCUGGGUUCAUGAAUGAUGUAGCUGACGCCCUGUCUCGUUUUCAGUGGUCACGAUUCCGGACGGUGGCGCCGGAAGCCCAAGAAGUGGGGCAGGCUUGCCCAGACGAGAUUUGGCGGCUCGGGGCGACCUGCUUGGGGGACUGGUGAAGGCUUCGCUGGCGCCGGCCACAUGGGCCGCUUACAGUAAGGUCUGGGACUCCUGGGAAAGGUCAUGGGAAGGGUUGGACCGCCUGCCGGCGGGGGAAUCGCUCAAGGAUGCGUUCCUCUGGUACACCUGUCAAUUUCUGGUGAAAGGGGUAUCCCCGGCGGUGGUUGACAGGUCCAUGGCGGCAAUGGCUUUUUGGUUCAAGCGACAUGGGGAAGAGGACCUUACUAAGGCCUUUGUCAUAAGGCAGGCACUGAAGGGGUACCGGCGGGGCCGCAGGCGGCCUGACACUCGGCGCCCAGUAUCGGUGCGAGUGUUGAGUGACCUGGUCGGUUUAUUGCCUACUAUAUGUUUCGACAGGUUCGAAGCAUCGUUGUUUCAGGCGGCAUUUCUGUUGGCCUUCUUUGGAGCCUUUCGGGUAGGGGAGUUGGUCAGUGCCACGAGGACUGCGGCAGGGGGGGUACAGGUGUCAGGGGUCCGAGUGCUGGAAGUGAAGGUGGUUGUACACCUGGCAAAAUCCAAGACGGACAGGUUAGGCAAGGGCCGAGAUGUGACGCUGCGGGCCCUGCCAGGCUCCGCUUUGUGCCCAGUGGCCGCAGUGGCGGGGUACAUGGCACGGAGGCCGGGGGUUGGAGGAUCGCUGCUGGUACACGCGGACGGGUCUUCCCUCUUCCGGUUCCAGUUCACCAAGGUUUUUCGGUCUGGACUGGGAAAGCUAGGACUGAGGGUGGAUACUUUUGGUACACACUCCUUUCGCAUUGGGGCGGCUACGGAGGCAGCUCGGUUGGGUCUGGGGGAUGACAUAGUGAAACGGAUUGGGAGAUGGGAGUCGGUACGGUUCCGUUCAUAUGUGCGCUUGGGUUUUUUGGAGUAGUAUGGUGAAGGGCCUUUGGGGGGAUCCCCGGGGGCUGGGUGUAUAAGGGGCUGUUAUGAUCUGUUUUCUUCUCUCCCCCAGGCCGUGUCGCAUGGAUCGUGGGCCAUUCAUUUGUCUUCUGGGCCGAAAGGAGGGCUGCAGCUCGAGCUCAGGGCCACCAGCUGGGCUUUCAUCGGGACCAGUUGGCAGUGCAAUGGUUUGGGUACAGGGGUUUUUGUUGGGGGGAG